GCGGCGGUCGUCUAGCCUGGUCUAGGACGCCGGCCUUCCGAGCCGGAAAUCCCGGGUUCAAAUCCCGGCCGCCGCACCA
RNAcentral lists this transfer RNA (79 nucleotides) under Acidilobales archaeon. Its description in RNAcentral is "tRNA-Gly". It matches the Rfam family "tRNA". Rfam says of the family: Transfer RNA (tRNA) molecules are approximately 80 nucleotides in length. Lineage: Archaea; Thermoproteati; Thermoproteota; Thermoprotei; Acidilobales. The record is from RNAcentral. RNAcentral also lists the same sequence under 2 other names.